Molecule: long non-coding RNA, 4831 nt
Organism: Ailuropoda melanoleuca (giant panda)
Lineage: Eukaryota; Metazoa; Chordata; Mammalia; Carnivora; Ursidae
Exons: 4
Source: RefSeq, a predicted model, not a curated record
CCCAGUGGAGGAGCCUGAUGUGGGGCUCGAUCCCAGGACUCUGGGAUCACGCCCUGAGCCGAAGGCAGACGCUUAAUGCCUGAGCCACCCAGGCGGCCCUGGAAACAUCUUUUUAAAAGCACGUACCCCCAAACAAUAUGAUAUGUCAUCUACGGAUACGCAUAUAAACACACCAGUGUAUAUGUAGAUAUGACAGGUGUUCUGGAAGGAUACACAGAAAACACACAGCUUCAAGAAUUGCCAUGUCUGGGUUGGGGAAGAAGGGUUGGAGAGGGGUUAAACGAAGAUUUGACUUCUUUUCCCUAAGAGAAGAGCGAGUUCAUAUCAUGCUUAUGUAAUUAAAAAAGUCAUCAAACAUGUAUAAAGGAAAAUGGGGGUGGAAAUGCUGGGUGACAUGAGCUGUUUAACUUGCGGCCAGGCUCGCAGAAUUAGGGCAAUUUCCGAGGGAUAAGAAGGACGUCCCCAGGCUGCUGCCCUUCCUGGUUGCCAUGUGUACUCACAUUUGGCAUUGUGUUUGCAAAGCACUCUCCUCAUUUUAUUCAUGUUCAUAAAAAACAGCCUCGAGGGCAGGCAGGGUCCGGAUCCCUCCCUUUUUAACAGAGGUGAAAACAGGAGCCCAGAGAGGUGAAGGGACUUGGCUGUGGUCACACAGCAAUUCUCAGUGGUGUCACUCAGAGCUCGCCGCUCUUGGGCCUGUGGGGCUUCUUCCAGAUCUUCCUGCUCUCUGGAGCCUGCAUCUGUAGCUCCUUCCUGGGGAGCUCCUGGGCCUCCCACUUCCUUCUGACCUCCCAACUGCUACAGGAGCUGCAGCUUCUUGGUCAGAUGGUGCCCCCUUCCCCCCCCCCAGCAGUAUCUUAGGAUAAAAAUAAACCAUCCUGUUCUCUUUUCCUGCUGUGCCAACUGAGGGGGAGCCUAGCCAGGAGGAGCAGCAGAUGGAGUGGGAGCCGAGGGGAAGGGAUUGGAGGGGAGGGAAGGGGAGGGAAGGAAGGUUGUAGGACAAGGAGAGGGAAGAGCCAAGCAAAGCCCCUGCACAAAGAUUCAUGGUGAGGAUGAGAGCAGGCUGGUUCAACCCAGGGAUCUCAACCCUUCCCCCAGCAAGAAGCGGCUUUGGAUUUCCUCGGUGUGUCCUGCUGGCUGGAGGGUGGGUGUGGAGAGGCCUUGCCCUGGAUGGAGACGGAGGGCAGCUGCGAGCCAAGAGAAGGGCACCUGGGUUGGCAGGCUUCCCAGAGGAGCUUUAAGAACCAUUUGGACGCACCAGGUGGAGACGUUUGGUUUAGAAAGCAGAACAAAGUGGUGGUUGUGGAGUGGAGGGGGAGGGGAGCUUUGGGACCGCUACUCCUCUCCUCUACUUAGAGUCCAAAUCCUAGUGACACUUCUGUGCAGGGCAGUAUGGUGGAAAGAGGCAAAAGACCUUCCUCUGUCACCUUUUGUCUGUGUGACCUUGGUUGUGUCAUUUUCAUCUCUGAGCAGCUCAGUUUUCUCACCUGGCAAAUGCAGACCAUACCUGAUACCCGUACUAGGUGGUAUUGAGUCUUCCUUGUGUUCUCCUGGGUCAGAGGUUCUCAAUCUCAAGCAUGGGUCAGAACCACCUAUCAGACUUACCAAAGAUUGCUGGGCCCCAUGGCCAGUGUUUGAUUGAGUAGGUCUGGGAUGGAGCUCGGCCAUUUGCAUUUUUAACAAGUUCCCUGAAUGAUGCUGAUGCUGCUGGCCCAGAGACCUCACUUUAAGAACUACUGCCCUCCCUCGGCAUGGCAUUCGUAUUUCCAGAUAAGCAGUUGGUUUCCUAUUACAAGCACUUGGGAUCGAUUGCCUUGGGGCUUUCCCUGGUCUCAAAAGCACGCUUGGUGCCGGUGUGUGGAGGGUCAGCUGUACCCUGGAGAGUUACUGCCCCAGAAUACUCUCAACCAAAUAGGAAUGAGAGCUGGAGGAUAGAUGCCCCAGCCCCCUUGCCCUUGGGAGGGACAGAUCUGAAGGGCGGUGUAGGUUUUCCUAGGUUUCUGAGCGGGAUUGAGCCCCAGGUGCCUUGCUGCCACUGGCUUCCUUCCCUCCCCUCUCUUCCCCACCCCCUGUUUCCACACUGGUGCUUCUCGAGUUCAAUCCCCCCCCCCAUAAACUUACCUGCAUCCUUUCCUUAUCACAGAGUCAGUUUCUGGGAGGGGCUCCCCCCAGAGUCCGUGGAACUCAUGCAUGAGAAGGUACAAGUAUAUCUAUCUCAGCGUCCCUGAUAAAGGGACGGGGUUCUUGGCAGCUAUAGCAAGUUCUGGGUUCUAAAUGGAACUCAGCCAGAAACUUUCUAUGUGACCUUGGGAAUGUUACUCUGGUUCUGGAAAUUUUCCCUCCCGAUGUGUGAUGAAGGGCUGGUGCCCUAGGAGUUCUAAGGGUCCCACCAAUUCUAAAAAUAAGUGAAGAUCAUCAACCCACUGUAGGAGUCGCUCUGGCCUGUGGUUGGAGAGGAGGGGGUGGGUGGGUGUGAGGCCUACAUCAGCCAGUAGGUGGCGCCAACGUAACGUGCGAAGACCCUGGCCGCUGGUUUUUGCGGACUUUCAAGCUACAUCCCACCCUCACUUUGGAGAAGAGGCCUUUCCUCUCUGGGGCCCCCUAGGCUUGAGCCUCCUGCUACCUGUACUCUGUAUCUUCCUCCAUUUCUGGCCGUUCAGAGGCCAUCCUCUUCCCUGCCUCCUUCCUUGGACAGGCAUCAACUGCACUUCUACUGAGGCCUCAUCUGGGGCUAGGUCUGUGCGCCGAGUCACUGAGAGUGCUCACGGAUAGAGAGCUCACUAUGUGCUCGGCACAGUGCUAAGAACUUCCUACUCGAUGUCUUAGUCCAGAGGACCACCGUCCAUAAUGCGCAGUCUUUAACACCCAUUUUACAGAUGAGGCUCAGAGGCUGAAUGACUUGCCAAGGUCUGAGGGGUAGAACCAGGAUUUGGGCCUACCCAGGCUGACCCUCAGCCGUGGAUUUUGCCCUGCCAUGGAGCAGGGAAACAGGUACAUGUCAUUUCAGGGCCAUUAAGGGACGGUGUGUCUGUCCACCGCAGGGGGAAAGCCCAGCUAACCUCCAGGGCAGGGGUUGCAAAGUCACGGGCGCAGGAGACAGAGUGAGGCGGACCCCGUGGGGGCAGGAAGAGUCAGGAAGGCAGAGCCUGUGACAAAGUGGGGAGGCUCUGCCUAUCUUUGGGAGGGGGGCAGUGUUGAUCAGUCCCUUUCCAUGUUGCCUUGCAGGAAUGGGAGCUGGAUAUGGCUUCACAUCCAGAUUUCCAUGUGAAAUCUCCCAAUGUUGAAAUGCUACUAAUUCCAAGAAGUUAAAGGUGAGAAACCAAGAAAGCAUGUCAUCGAGGGUUGGAAUUGAAAGAGACUGGGAACGUCAUUGUGUCUGAUCCUUUUGUUUUCUACAUACGGAAACUGAGGCCCUGGGAAGGUCCAGAACUGAGUUAGGCUGAAUGUCAGAGGCAGGCUGUCUCCUUCAUCGCAACCCAGCCUGGAGGCAGGAGAGAGCUCCUGGGGGCCCAGGCUCCACCCACAUCUAAGGCACUUCUCACACAGCACCUCACUUGAUCCUGACAACACCCCUUGGAGAGAAUAUGGUUUAUCCUUACAGCUGAACAAGCUGGCCCUCCAGAGCUGGUGUACCAGGGGGUUCUGGACUCUAUCCAGUCCCGUGGCCUUGAACACCACCCGUGACUUCCAGAUGCAGCUCUCCAGACCCAGAAAUUUCCGGCUGCCUUCUUGAUAUCUCCGCUUGGAUGUCAACAGAUAGUGACAAACUUUCCUUUGAAGAUAAAACAAAAAAGAUCUGAUAAACGACUUGUAUGCAAAAUACAUAAAGAACUCUCCCAACUCAACCAUAAGGGACAAAGGACACAAUUUAAAAUUGGGCAAAGGACUUAAAUAGACAUGUCUCCAAAGACGACAUACAAAUGGCCAAUAAGCACAUGAAAAGGUGCUUAACAUCAUGAAUCAUCAGGGAGACGCAAAUCAAACCUCAAUGAGCCACCACUUCACACCUGUUAGGAUUUAGCUACGGAUGUGGCUCAAAUGAAAAGGACAGACAACUGAAAGUGUAAGCAAGGAUGGAGAAACACUGGAAUGCUCAGACAUUGCCGGUGAAAUUGUAAAAUGGCACAGUCACUUUGGAAGGAGUCGGGCAGUUCCUCUUCCUCAACAGGUUACACGUGGGGUUACGGUAUGACCCAGCAAUUCCACGCCUCGGAGAUGUAUACUCAAGAGAACUGAACACACCUCCGUGCACAGAACUUGUAUGGGAGUGUUGCUAGCAGUGCUAGUCGAAAUAGCCAAGAGGUGGAAACAACUCAAAUCCAUCAACUGAUGACUGGAUGAAGAAAGCGUGGUAGACCCAGGCACUGGAAUAUUAGGCAGCAGUGGAAAGGGACGAAGUCCCGAUGCGCACUACAGCGUGGAUGAAUCUGAAAACCAGUUUGCUAAUUGAAAAGAGCCCGUCGUAAAAGGCCACACAUUGUAUGACUCCGUGCGUAUGAAAUAUCCAGAACAGGCAAAUCCAUAGACACAGAAAACAGCUUAGUGGUUGCUGGGGGCUGUGGAGGCGUGGGAUGGGGAGUGGAAUGGGGAGUAACUGAUCAUGGAUACAGGAUUUCUUUUGGGGGUGUUGAAAAUGUUCUGGAAUUAGAUGGGAGGGAUAUACGACUCUGUGGAUAUGUGGAAAACCCCUGAAUUGUGCACUUUCAAAAGGUGGAUUUUAGGGGCGCCUGGGUGGCUCAGUCAGUUAAGCGUCCGAUUCUUGAUUUCAGCUCAGGUCAUGAGCUCAGGGUCGUCAGAUCGAGUCCCGAGUUGGGCUCUGUGCUCAGCAGGGAGU